GGGGGCAUAGCUCAGUUGGUAGAGCGCCUGCUUUGCAAGCAGGAUGUCGCAGGUUCGAGCCCUGUUGCUUCCACCA
Molecule: transfer RNA, 76 nt
Filed under: Microbacterium sp. 77mftsu3.1
Lineage: Bacteria; Bacillati; Actinomycetota; Actinomycetes; Micrococcales; Microbacteriaceae
Description: tRNA_Ala_TGC
Rfam family: tRNA
About the family: Transfer RNA (tRNA) molecules are approximately 80 nucleotides in length. Their secondary structure includes four short double-helical elements and three loops (D, anti-codon, and T loops). Further hydrogen bonds mediate the characteristic L-shaped molecular structure. tRNAs have two regions of fundamental functional importance: the anti-codon, which is responsible for specific mRNA codon recognition, and the 3' end, to which the tRNAs corresponding amino acid is attached (by aminoacyl-tRNA synthetases). tRNAs cope with the degeneracy of the genetic code in two manners: having more than one tRNA (with a specific anti-codon) for a particular amino acid; and 'wobble' base-pairing, i.e. permitting non-standard base-pairing at the 3rd anti-codon position.
Source: RNAcentral